RNAcentral lists this RNase P RNA (355 nucleotides) under pig gut metagenome. RNAcentral describes it as "Bacterial RNase P class A". It matches the Rfam family "Bacterial RNase P class A". Rfam says of the family: Ribonuclease P (RNase P) is a ubiquitous endoribonuclease, found in archaea, bacteria and eukarya as well as chloroplasts and mitochondria. Its best characterised activity is the generation of mature 5'-ends of tRNAs by cleaving the 5'-leader elements of precursor-tRNAs. Cellular RNase Ps are ribonucleoproteins. The record is from RNAcentral.
GGGUCGGACAGCCGCGCGGAGAGUGCCGAAAGGCCCUCUGUGAGGAAAGUCCGGGCUCCACAGGGCAAGGAUAGCGGGUAACGCCCGCCCAAGGCGACUUGCGGAAAAGUGCAACAGAGAUAUACCGCCCUGUAUGGUCUGCGCUGCAGGCCAUGCAGGGCAAGGAUGGAAAGGCGAGGUAAGAGCUCACCCGCCGGCUGGAGACAGUCCGGUGCUGUAAACUCUAUCCGGAGCAACACCGCAGAGGGGACACAGGCUGGCCCGGCCGUCCCCGAGAAGGUGGCUGGAACGCACCGGCAACGAUGCGUCUAGAUAGAUGGCUGUCAAGACAGAACCCGGCUUACAGACCCGGUCG